Molecule: ribosomal RNA, 423 nt
Filed under: uncultured bacterium
Lineage: Bacteria
Description: bacterial SSU rRNA
Rfam family: Bacterial small subunit ribosomal RNA
Source: RNAcentral
AAGACCUUGCGCUUUUGGAGCGGCCGAUGCCUGAUUAGCUAGUUGGUGGGGUAAUGGCCUACCAAAGCUUCGAUCAGUAGCUGGUCUGAGAGGACGGCCAGCCACACUGGGACUGAGACACGGCCCAGACUCCUACGGGAGGCAGCAGUGGGGAAUUUUGGACAAUGGGCGCAAGCCUGAUCCAGCCAUGCCGCGUGAGUGAAGAAGGCCUUCGGGUUGUAAAGCUCUUUCAGCCGGGACGAAACGGUUACGGUUAACACCCGUGACUACUGACGGUACCGGAAGAAGAAGCACCGGCUAACUACGUGCCAGCAGCCGCGGUAAUACGUAGGGUGCGAGCGUUAAUCGGAAUUACUGGGCGUAAAGCGUGCGCAGGUGGUUUUGUAAGUCAGAUGUGAAAGCCCCGGGCUCAACCUGGGAACU